AUGGCCUCCCUCACCAUGCUCGUCUCUUGGACUAUUUGGAACGAGAGAAAUGCGCGGGUGUUUCGCAACAAGAGUGUGCCGCCGCCUAUCCUGCUCCAAAAUAUCGUGCUCGAGGCAAAACUAUGGGUUACGGCAGGUGCUAAGUGUCGGGGAAAGUUGAUCCACGAACACCUAUGGGGAUCGGCGGACCGAGCCCCUUUUGAUUCGGUGAGGGCGGAGGUCGAGCAAAGAGCGGAUCGAGGCGGUACAUGCGAGCAGUUUUACCCAGCUUCGGGCCGCACGGAUGCGUAA
Molecule: ribosomal RNA, 291 nt
Filed under: Triticum aestivum (bread wheat)
Lineage: Eukaryota; Viridiplantae; Streptophyta; Magnoliopsida; Poales; Poaceae
Description: partial small subunit ribosomal RNA
Source: RNAcentral